This 75-nucleotide antisense RNA is filed under the name Micromonospora peucetia. RNAcentral's name for it is "ASpks TB sRNA". It matches the Rfam family "ASpks TB sRNA". Lineage: Bacteria; Bacillati; Actinomycetota; Actinomycetes; Micromonosporales; Micromonosporaceae. The record is from RNAcentral.
CUUGAUCGAGCCGAGCAGCAACGGCUCGCGACCGUCGCGGCCCUGACCGUAGGUGGCCAGCAACGCCUGCGCCUC